GAUGAACGCUGGCGGCGUGCCUAAUACAUGCAAGUCGAGCGAACAGACGAGGAUCUUGCUCCUCUGACGUUAGCGGCGGACGGGUGAGUAACACGUGGAUAACCUACCUAUAAGACUGGUAUCACUUCGGGAAACCGGAGCUAAUACCGGAGAAUAUAUUGAACCGCAUGGUGCAAUAGUGAAAUACGGUGUUGCUGUCACGUAUAGAUGGAUCCGCGCCUCAUGAGGUAGUUGGUAAUGUAACGGCUUACCAAGGCGACGAUGCGUAGCCCACCUGAGAGACUGGUAGACCACACUGGAACUGAGACACCCUCCAGACUCCUACGAGACGCAGCAGUAGGGAAUCUUCCGCAAUAGUCGAAAACAUGACACAACAACCCCACGUGAGUUAUAAAAAUCUUCCGAUCGUAAAACUCUCUUAUUAGUUAAAAACAAAUGUCUAAGUAAAUAUGCCCGUCUUGACGGUAACUAAUAAGAAAGCACCGGCUAACUACGUG
Molecule: ribosomal RNA, 497 nt
Filed under: uncultured bacterium
Lineage: Bacteria
Description: partial 16S ribosomal RNA
Rfam family: Bacterial small subunit ribosomal RNA
Source: RNAcentral